RNAcentral lists this ribosomal RNA (384 nucleotides) under marine copepod environmental sample. Its description in RNAcentral is "partial small subunit ribosomal RNA". It matches the Rfam family "Eukaryotic small subunit ribosomal RNA", at positions 587 to 972 of the family's 1831-position model. The record is from RNAcentral. Lineage: Eukaryota; Metazoa; Arthropoda; Copepoda.
AGCUCCAAUAGCGUAUAUUAAAGUUGUUGUGGUUAAAAAGCUCGUAAAAAAGUCGUAAAAAGUAGUGGUUGGUUUGAAUUGAUUCAACACUGACUUUUUUACCCGUGUGUUUUGCCAGAAUCUUACGGGUGAUCUUUACCGAUUGUCCGUUGGAACUGGCAGGUUUACUUUGAAAAAAUUAGAGUGCUCAAAGCAAGCUUACUGCUUGAAUAGUUGCGCAUGGAAUAAUAGAAUAGGAAGUCGUUUCUAUUUUGUUGGUUUUCGGAAAUCGACUUAAUGAUUAAUAGGGAUAGUCGGGGGCAUUCGUAUUCAAACGACAGAGGUGAAAUUCUUGGACCGUUUGAAGACGAACUAAGGCGAAAGCAUUUGCCAAGAAUGUUUUCA